This 899-nucleotide ribosomal RNA is filed under the name uncultured bacterium. RNAcentral describes it as "bacterial SSU rRNA". It matches the Rfam family "Bacterial small subunit ribosomal RNA", at positions 8 to 916 of the family's 1533-position model. The record is from RNAcentral.
AGAGUUUGAUCAUGGCUCAGGAUGAACGCUGGCGGCGUGCCUAAUACAUGCAAGUCGAACGAGGUGCUUUUGUAGCAAUACGAGAGUAUCCUAGUGGCGAACGGGUGAGUAACGCGUUGGUGACCUACCCCAAAGUGUGGGAUAACAGUCCGAAAGGAUUGCUAAUACCGCAUGUGGUCAUUGGAUUUAGAAACCGAUGACUAAAGGAGCAAUUCGCUUUGGGAGGGACCUGCGUCCCAUCAGCUAGUUGGUGAGGUAAUGGCUCACCAAGGCGACGACGGGUAGGGGACCUGAGAGGGUGGCCCCCCACAAUGGAACUGAAACACGGUCCAUACACCUACGGGUGGCAGCAGUAGGGAAUAUUGCUCAAUGGGCGAAAGCCUGAAGCAGCAACGCCGCGUGUGUGAUGAAGGCCUUCGGGUCGUAAAGCACUUUUCUGGGAGAUGAGAAAGGACAGUAUCCCAGGAAUAAGUCUCGGCUAACUACGUGCCAGCAGCCGCGGUAAAACGUAGGAGGCGAGCGUUAUCCGGAUUCACUGGGCGUAAAGCGCGUGCAGGUGGCGCGGUAAGUUGGGUGUGAAAUCUCCCGGCUCAACUGGGAGAGGUCAUUCAAUACUACCGUGCUUGAGAGCAGAAGAGGAAGAUGGAAUUCCCGGUGUAGUGGUGAAAUGCGUAGAUAUCGGGAGGAACACCAGUGGCGAAGGCGAUCUUCUGGUCUGUUUCUGACACUCAGACGCGACAGCUAGGGUAGUAAACGGGAUUAGAGACCCCGGUAAUCCUAGCCGUAAACGAUGUGAACUUGGCGUUGGUGGGUUAAACUCCAUCAGUGCCGUAGCAAACGCGAUAAGUUCACCGCCUGGGGACUACGGCCGCAAGGUUAAAACUCAAAGGAAUUGACGG